RNAcentral lists this ribosomal RNA (279 nucleotides) under uncultured bacterium. RNAcentral describes it as "partial 16S ribosomal RNA". It matches the Rfam family "Bacterial small subunit ribosomal RNA", at positions 506 to 784 of the family's 1533-position model. The record is from RNAcentral.
UGCCAGCCGCCGCGGUAAUACGGAAGGUGCGAGCGUUAAUCGGAAUCACUGGGCGUAAAGCGCACGUAGGCGGUUGGGUUAGUCGGAUGUGAAAGCCCUGGGCUCAACCUGGGAAUUGCAUUCGAUACUGCUCGACUAGAGUAUGAGAGAGGGUAGCGGAAUUCCGGGUGUAGCGGUGAAAUGCGUAGAUAUCCGGGGGAACAUCAGUGGCGAAGGCGGCUACCUGGGUCAAUACUGACGCUGAGGUGCGAAAGCGUGGGGAGCAAACAGGAUUAGAUA